Molecule: small RNA, 122 nt
Filed under: Arabidopsis thaliana (thale cress)
Lineage: Eukaryota; Viridiplantae; Streptophyta; Magnoliopsida; Brassicales; Brassicaceae
Description: ATSL181280
Source: RNAcentral
UAGACUCAUUCUUAUCCUAUAAAGCUUUUACGACAUCUAUAUAUACAUUUUUGCAGCCAUUUUAGCAAAUAAAUCUUAGAGUUGGACUUACUUACAACCAAAUGCCAUUAGCAAAAAAAAUU